GUGACGCUCGGGCAGCGGCGGAAGCGGCGGCAUCGAGGCCGACCGAGAUGCGUGUGCUUUCUGCGUAGAAUAGCGAAAGCGCCGCUCGGCAGCUGCGACGCCCUCGCGCGCAACAACUGAGAAGCAAAAUAACCGCCGUUGUCGCCACCUCAGGGGCUCCGGCCCGCCUGACACCCGCUUGUGGCCAUGUCCUUGGAGGGAGGAGUUAACGCCAUCGGGUCGACCAACAGCGACAUUCGGUGGGACUACGAAAGCGGCGCUGCGCUGUCGGAGAGCGGCGACGCAGGUGAGCCUCUCAUUCAAGGCAGCGACAGCGGCGCCAUGCGCCGCUCUCUGUGGACCCGCCUCAGGAAGCGAGCCUGGAUCGUGCCGGUGAUUUACACGCACUUCUGGGCGGCUGCCGUCAUUUCGCUCGUGGCACCUUUCUUUCCGCCGCUUGCGGACUCCAGAGGCAUACCAGCAUGGAAAUAUGGCUUCUUUUUCUCAACCAUGAAACUUAUGAUGCUUCCAGGAGCUGUGAUAGCCGAAAAGUUGAUCUCAGAUGUCUCCGCCAAGGCAGGCUACCUAGGUGGACAAGUAACCACAGCGUUAUUCUCUGUCAUGUGCGGCUUUCUCUACUGGGUAAAGGGUGGCAACCUACUGUUCGGCGUCUCCCUGCUGAUGGCAGCUUUCGGCGGCUGUUGUAACACAGUCUACAGCGUUUGCUUGUACACUCUACUUACCUCAAGAUUUCAAGACGACGGCGGUAUGCUCAUAGGCCUGAUGGAAUGCCUCUGGGGAGCGGGCACAUUGGUUGGAUCGUCCGUCGGCGGGGCUCUUAUAGACCUUUGGGCGUUUCCUCUCCCUUUCUUCGUCAUCGGAGGUGUUCUACUUCUGUCAUUGCCAUUCAUGGCACUUAUAAAUCCCAGGAGCUCCAAACAUGACAGCCCAACAAAUGAUAGGGUGCUUCAACAACAAGGUGCGGAGAAGAAAUACUGGCACCUCAUUUUCGAUUUUAUAUUUAUAGUUAACCUUUUUACCGUCACAAUAAGUUGGGCUAUGACCAGCUUCAACGAACCAACAUUGGAACCACAUCUACGUCAGUUUAAGAUGUCAAGCACCGAAGUAGGAACUGUAUUCACAGUCCAGUUCGUUGGAUACUCCAUUGGUUCUUUACUUGGAGGUCUCUUCGCCAAGUUCAAGAUGGAACCAUUCAUGAACUUUUUCGGGAUGUUGCUGUCCACGAUAGCGUACAUCAUACUCGGCCCAAUACCGAUAAUACCAAUUCCACCGUGUUCAUCGGCAUCGGCAUGGCAGUCACAUAUGUCAGCCCCUACAUGCAUGCCCUCAGACAUGUCAUUGAAAAUGCUGGUUACCCCGACAACGAGAAAACCCACGGAGUAGUCACAAGUGCCACAUACCAGUUCAUGGUCUUUGGCGCCGUCGUAACUUCUCCCUUGGCGGGCUUUGUGACCCAGAGGCUGGGCUUUCCAUUUUCUUCCAUGAUUUUCGCCGGUUUUCUGGCUUUUUGGACCAUCGUGACGGGUUUUGUGUGGUUGCACCUAGAUUACUCACUUUUCUGCAAGC
RNAcentral lists this unclassified non-coding RNA (1566 nucleotides) under Dermacentor andersoni. Its description in RNAcentral is "uncharacterized LOC126521231". Lineage: Eukaryota; Metazoa; Arthropoda; Arachnida; Ixodida; Ixodidae. The record is from RNAcentral.